This 485-nucleotide ribosomal RNA is filed under the name uncultured bacterium. RNAcentral describes it as "bacterial SSU rRNA". It matches the Rfam family "Bacterial small subunit ribosomal RNA", at positions 21 to 507 of the family's 1533-position model. The record is from RNAcentral.
GGCUCAGAUUGAACGCUGGCGGCAUGCUUUACACAUGCAAGUCGAACGGUAACAGGUUAAGCUGACGAGUGGCGAACGGGUGAGUAAUGCAUCGGAACGUGCCCAGGUCGUGGGGGAUAACGCAGCGAAAGCUGUGCUAAUACCGCAUACGAUCUAUGGAUGAAAGCGGGGGACCGUAAGGCCUCGCGCGAUUGGAGCGGCCGAUGUCAGAUUAGCUAGUUGGUGGGGUAAAGGCCCACCAAGGCGACGAUCUGUAGCUGGUCUGAGAGGACGACCAGCCACACUGGAACUGAGACACGGUCCAGACUCCUACGGGAGGCAGCAGUGGGGAAUUUUGGACAAUGGGCGCAAGCCUGAUCCAGCAAUGCCGCGUGCAGGAAGAAGGCCUUCGGGUUGUAAACUGCUUUUGUACGGAACGAAAAGGCUCUGGCUAAUACCCGAGGCUCAUGACGGUACCGUAAGAAUAAGCACCGGCUAACUACGUG